This 253-nucleotide ribosomal RNA is filed under the name uncultured bacterium. RNAcentral describes it as "partial 16S ribosomal RNA". It matches the Rfam family "Bacterial small subunit ribosomal RNA", at positions 524 to 776 of the family's 1533-position model. The record is from RNAcentral.
UACGUAGGGGGCAAGCGUUGUCCGGAUUUAUUGGGCGUAAAGAGCGUGUAGGCGGCUAGGUAGGUCCGUUGUGAAAACUCGAGGCUCAACCUCGAGACGUCGAUGGAAACCAUCUAGCUAGAGUCCGGAAGAGGAGAGUGGAAUUCCUGGUGUAGCGGUGAAAUGCGCAGAUAUCGGGAGGAACACCAAUGGCGAAGGCAGCUCGCUGGGACGGUACUGACGCUGAGACGCGAAAGCGUGGGGAGCAAACAGG